This 563-nucleotide ribosomal RNA is filed under the name uncultured bacterium. Its description in RNAcentral is "partial 16S ribosomal RNA". It matches the Rfam family "Bacterial small subunit ribosomal RNA", at positions 356 to 1375 of the family's 1533-position model. The record is from RNAcentral.
UGGGAAUAUUGGACAAUGGGCGAAAGCCUGAUCCAGCAAUGCCGCGUGAGUGAUGAAGGCCUUAGGGUUGUAAAGCUCUUUUACCCGGGAUGAUAAUGACAGUACCGGGAGAAUAAGCUCCGGCUAACUCCGUGCCAGCAGCCGCGGUAAUACGGAGGGAGCUAGCGUUGUUCGGAAUUACUGGGCGUAAAGCGCACGUAGGCGGCUUUGUAAGUUAGAGGUGAAAAGCCUGGAGCUCAACUCCAGAAUUGCCUUUAGGACUGCAUCGCUCGAAUCCAGGAGAGGUGAGUGGAAUUCCGAGUGUAGAGGUGAAAUUCGUAGAUAUUCGGAAGAACACCAGUGGCGAAGGCGGCUCACUGGACUGGUAUUGACGCUGAGGUGCGAAAAGCGUGGGGAGCAAAACAGGAUUAGAUACCCUGGUAGUCCACGCCGUAAACGAUGAUAACUAGCUGUCCGGGGACUUGGUCCCUGGGUGGCGCAGCUAACGCAUUAAGUUAUCCGCCUGGGGAGUACGGCCGCAAGGUUAAAACUUAAAGGAAUUGACGGGGUCAUAGCUGUUUCCU